CAGAAAUCAGGAUCCAAUGUCUGCCUUACGAAGAAAGCGCUGACCAAAUGCCACAGCUUAUGUUUAGAUGGAGAUACCUCUCACAGGGCCUCUCUGUAUCUGCUUCAUCAGAUGAGUAACAUAUCCCGCCAUCUUAUUGUGGAACUUCUUGCUGGGGAUGAUGGUGAUCCUCUGGCACACGGGCUUGUUGGUGCAGAAGUUGUUGUCCAGAUAGGCCAAGUUGCUGAAUAGUUGAAGCCCAAAUAGGUGACAAAUUAAGGUAAAAGAAUUCAC
RNAcentral lists this long non-coding RNA (273 nucleotides) under Phascolarctos cinereus (koala). RNAcentral describes it as "lncRNA (ENSPCIG00000036147.1)". Lineage: Eukaryota; Metazoa; Chordata; Mammalia; Diprotodontia; Phascolarctidae. The record is from RNAcentral.